CCCUAAUUCAUCCCAGGAGGAAAAGGCAGCUUCCUGUAGCCCUAAGCUGAAUCUUGAAGUUCAAGAAGUGAAAGAGUGAACCAAGAACAUCCCAGACAUAGGGAACUGUAUGUGAGCAGGAUCCUUUACUAAAAAGGAAACAGCCCUGCCCAAGGAUCUGGGCUCAAAUUCAAGAUCAGCUGAUUCAACACAGCAUCCCUGUAGAAAAAGCUGGCAGAGUAAAAGCUUCAAUUCCUUCCCAUGGCAGCCCACCAAAACUGGCUUCAAAGAUCCUCUGCUUAUGCUGCAGGGACUGUGAAGAGCCCCAAGUCAUCGAUGACUCCAAGGUUCCCAGUUAAACCCAAGAGAACCAGCCAUUGAGCCACAGAUCCUCAGCCCUGAACACAGUGCUUGGUACCAGUACAUCCUCAAUAAAUACAUCUGUACCCAGAUGUCCAUGGAAGACGUGUUCCAAGACCACCCUUCAAUACCCAAAUCCAUGGAUGCUCAAAUCCCUUCCAUAAACUGAGAUCUGAAGGCAGGCUCUUACCAAGAUAGUUUGCAAAAGAAACACACACACUGCUCCCAAAACAACCGGAUGACAGUCAAGACAUGCAACCUUGGGUGACCCUGAGCAUUCUAGUCAGUGGCGCCCCCAUGAGGCUCUGGCUGCACAGCUGCAGAGGAUCUCCAUGAGGAGGAAGGCAGUGGGCAGGAGUCAUAAAGACUGAUUCAGAAACUUCAGGCAGGAAGAGAAGAUGUCGGAGUCAACCCUGUGCCAUCUGCUGGAGUCCCACCAUCUGACACAGCCAGGGCAGGAAGAGCUGUCUCCAAUUAAAG
RNAcentral lists this long non-coding RNA (819 nucleotides) under Heterocephalus glaber (naked mole-rat). RNAcentral's name for it is "lncRNA (ENSHGLG00100044904.1)". The record is from RNAcentral. Lineage: Eukaryota; Metazoa; Chordata; Mammalia; Rodentia; Bathyergidae.